GCCCGGCCGCCCCCCUCCCUCCCUCCCGGCGCUCACACCCUGCGGGGGGGGCGCCCCUGGGCCGGAUCUCCGGGCCCGCCCUCCCUCCCCGGCUCCCUGCAGGCGGCGUACGGGGCUGGCCGGCUGCGGCUCUGCUCCCGCCGCUACCCCGACAGGGCGGGCAGGUCCCUGGGCUUCCCCCCGCCCUAGCUCCGCGGCCGCCGGCGAGGCAAACCACUUUGAGCCCCCGCCCCUGACCGCACAGUGGAUUUUGCGCAUGCGCGAGGCCCUGCCCUAAUAAGGCGCGGCUGGCGGCGCUGUGAGGGGUUCGCAUUCUCCCGCCUUCCCCUCCGGGCCGCUCCUAUUGGUUCGGGGACUGGACGUGAGUGGGGAGGCGCGGCUCCCUUAAAGGGAAAGUAACACCCCUUCCAGCCCCUUCCUCCUUAGAACUGCGUUCUCUCGCCCGCUCUCGGCGGGGCUCUGGCCCACGGUGUGGCUGGCGGACAGGGGGCGCGCCCAGCGCGUGGGCGCUGGGACCCUGUGUCACAGCGUCACCCGUCCCAUGUAGGCUGCGGCUUGCCCCGUACUGGGACAGUGCCAGGCUGCAGGGAGCUGGGGGGAAGAAGGAGGCGUGUCCCACUUUUUAAAUGUAAGUGGGGUUACACCACUGCCCUUCUCUAGAGGAGGUGCACAGGUGUAAAUCAGUACAGAUUUUGUCUCAAAGCAGGGGAAUGCCGUGGCUGCGCCUGGUGAUGAUGAGGUGCUGUUAUAAGAUAUAUUUUGGAAACUGAUGCUUCUUCCACUGCACUUUCCUUUCUCCAUUUUCAUAUGAACUCUGCUACAUUAUCAAUAUUUGCCAUCACAACAUGGCCAACUGACAACUCUCCAACUCCACCUACUGUGAAGAACUCAGGGAAGACUCAACUGCACAGUUUACCCAGGAAUUUAAGGAUUUCAUCAACUCCUGCCUGAAACAAUUCCAAGAGAAACUCUACAACCUCAUCUCCCACAAUUCCACCAGGGACCUUCUACAUGCUUCCCACGACAUACAGACAAGGGAACCCAGGCAGCUCCAUCAUACGUGGCUGCGGCACUCUUACUGAAGGAAUAUCAGGACUCAUAGAAACAACUCAAACCACUCACCACACAAAGGGCCAACUUCCUCUAAGACACAACCAACUUUCACCAGAAACUCCACAACAUUAACAACCUCCCUCAGAACACCAUCCAAGCCACCACGGAUUUUUUUCACAAAUCAGUUUAGAAAGUGAAAUAAACUAGCCAGUUUCAUUUUAAUUUGUGGUAAGUUGUUAAACAGUUUCAUUUUAUGGCACUGAUCAUCACUCUAUGGAUGAUUCAGUCCACAUUGUCAAUGCAAUAUCUACUGGUGUUAUAAAUAACAUUUAUAGUGUAAAUUGAGGACUUUAUGUACUUUUCUUCCAAUGCAAAAUUACUAGAUUUAUUGAACUAGUACAAAAACGCUUUAAAAAAAUUGUAUAUUUUGAGCUGUUGUAGUUACACUUGUAAUGAGUAUGGACAUCUGUAUCAUUCUGCAAUCUUAUAACAGAAUGCAACUGAAAAAUACAAGUUUCCAUUGAAGACCCAUGAAUAAAGCCAUAAUCGUAAUUUUCUCUUAUGUCGAUGACAGCAUGUUUAAACUGCUAAAUACCAAUCUAUUUUUAUGAUCUAGGAUUAUACAUGCACCAUUGGUAGAGUAAUAUUCAAUAAAAUUAGUUUUGAAUAAUUCAGAGAGGGCAUGAAAAUUGUUUUAUAGAUGGCUAUCUUCUGUGUAAUCUUACUAAUACUGCUAAAAGUUUGCAAAUUGUGUGACACUGCAGAGUUUCAGUAGUAACCUUACCAGUGCCAUGUAAAAAGAUAUGACACCUUCCUAUUCUGCUCAGUGUUUCCCUGUUUACAUAUCUAAGGAUUGACUAGAGCAUUGCACAGUUCAUUUGUUUUUCCAUCAGGACCCCUAUAUACUUUUCAGUCACUGCUUUUCAGUAUUCAGUCCCCCAUUCUGUAGGCUUGGCCUACAUUUUUUGUUACUAGAUAUAUUACUUUGUCUUUGGCUAUAUUAAAAUGCAAGUUUGUGCCCAGUUUGCCAAGUGAUACCAAUUGCACUGCAUAAUUGACCCGUCCUCAGGAUUAUAUUUUCUACAUCACUAAUCGUUGUGUCAUCCGUAAAUUUUUAUAAGCAAUGAUUUUAUAUUUUUUCAAGAUCAUUGAUAAAAAUAUUAAAUAU
This is a long non-coding RNA of Dermochelys coriacea (leatherback sea turtle), 2221 nucleotides long. RefSeq lists it as uncharacterized. The record is from RefSeq and is a predicted model, not a curated record. The transcript has 2 exons. NCBI's taxonomy places the organism in Eukaryota, Metazoa, Chordata, Testudines, Dermochelyidae.